AGUGAACGCUGGCGGUAGGCCUAACACAUGCAAGUCGAACGGCAGCACAGUAAGAGCUUGCUCUUACGGGUGGCGAGUGGCGGACGGGUGAGGAAUACAUCGGAAUCUACUUUUUCGUGGGGGCUAACGUAGGGAAACUUACGCUAAUACCGCAUACGACCUACGGGUGAAAGCAGGGGAUCUUCGGACCUUGCGCGAUUGAAUGAGCCGAUGUCGGAUUAGCUAGUUGGCGGGGUAAAGGCCCACCAAGGCGACGAUCCGUAGCUGGUCUGAGAGGAUGAUCAGCCACACUGGAACUGAGACACGGUCCAGACUCCUACGGGAGGCAGCAGUGGGGAAUAUUGGACAAUGGGCGCAAGCCUGAUCCAGCCAUACCGCGUGGGUGAAGAAGGCCUUCGGGUUGUAAAGCCCUGUUGUUGGGAAAGAAAAGCAGCAGGUUAAUACCCCGCUGUUCUGACGGUACCCAAAGAAUAAGCACCGGCUAACUUCGUG
Molecule: ribosomal RNA, 492 nt
Filed under: uncultured bacterium
Lineage: Bacteria
Description: partial 16S ribosomal RNA
Rfam family: Bacterial small subunit ribosomal RNA
Source: RNAcentral